UACGUAGGUGGCAAGCGUUAUCCGGAUUUACUGGGUGUAAAGGGAGCGUAGACGGCACUGCAAGUCUGGAGUGAAAGCCCGUGGCCCAACCACGGGACUGCUCUGGAAACUGUGUUGCUGGAGUGCAGGAGGGGUAAGCGGAAUUCCUAGUGUAGCGGUGAAAUGCGUAGAUAUUAGGAGGAACACCGGUGGCGAAGGCGGCUUACUGGACUGUAACUGACGUUGAGGCUCGAAGGCGUGGGGAGCAAACAGG
Molecule: ribosomal RNA, 253 nt
Filed under: uncultured bacterium
Lineage: Bacteria
Description: partial 16S ribosomal RNA
Rfam family: Bacterial small subunit ribosomal RNA
Source: RNAcentral